CAAUGUGGCUCAGUUGGUAGAGCAGCGCAUUCGUAAUGCGCGGGUCAAGGGUUCGAGUCCCUUCAUUGG
Molecule: transfer RNA, 69 nt
Filed under: bovine gut metagenome
Rfam family: tRNA
About the family: Transfer RNA (tRNA) molecules are approximately 80 nucleotides in length. Their secondary structure includes four short double-helical elements and three loops (D, anti-codon, and T loops). Further hydrogen bonds mediate the characteristic L-shaped molecular structure. tRNAs have two regions of fundamental functional importance: the anti-codon, which is responsible for specific mRNA codon recognition, and the 3' end, to which the tRNAs corresponding amino acid is attached (by aminoacyl-tRNA synthetases). tRNAs cope with the degeneracy of the genetic code in two manners: having more than one tRNA (with a specific anti-codon) for a particular amino acid; and 'wobble' base-pairing, i.e. permitting non-standard base-pairing at the 3rd anti-codon position.
Source: RNAcentral